RNAcentral lists this ribosomal RNA (421 nucleotides) under Fusobacteriota bacterium. Its description in RNAcentral is "Fusobacteria bacterium partial 16S ribosomal RNA". It matches the Rfam family "Bacterial small subunit ribosomal RNA", at positions 355 to 776 of the family's 1533-position model. Lineage: Bacteria; Fusobacteriati; Fusobacteriota. The record is from RNAcentral.
UGGGGAAUAUUGCACAAUGGACGGAAGUUUGAUUCAGCGACGCCGCGUGGAGGGUGUAGGCCUUCGGGUUGUGAACUCUUUUUUCUCGCGAAAAAGGCACAGUUUUGGCUGUGUUGAUGGUAGUGGGGGAAGAAGCGCCGGCUAACUAUGUGCCAGCAGCCGCGGUAAUACGUAGGGCGCGAGCGUUGUCCGGAUUUAUUGGGCGUAAAGAGCUCGUAGGUGGUUCGUCGCGUCUGUCGUGAAAGCCAGCAGCUUAACUGUUGGUCUGCGGUUGGUACGGGCGGGCUUGAAUGCGGUAGGGGUGACUGGAAUUCCUGGUGUAGCGGUGGAAUGCGCAGAUAUCAGGGGGAACACCGAUGGCGAAGGCAGGUCACUGGGCCGUUACUGACACUGAGGAGCGAAAGCGUGGGGAGCGAACAGG